UAUGGAGAACUUGCAAAAUGCAUAUAUGCCUAUGAUUAAUGUGUCGUGUAUAUUAGGAUUUGAUAUUUGCAAGCAUGUUGUCAUUUAUAUACUUACUAAUUUAGAACAGCCACUUGAACAGUUCUUGAAUUUCAUUGGCUGAGAUGUAUAUUUUCUUCGGUUUUUUCUUUGCUUUGUUGUAAGCACAAUUGUUUUAAUGUAUUGGGCUUUUCUCUUUCGUGUAUCUUCAAAGCCACGUGUUUAGAUGUGUUGUCCACCGCUACAACACCCAAUAGAAAUAACCAUGCUGUCACUCACUCAACAUCCACCGAUCCAAUCCACCGCUUCUUUUUUACUUCCCUCCAUCACCUCUCACUUGAUCUUCCCUUCCUACUCACUCAUGUUGGCCUCUUCAAAUCGUUGCCUGAUCCUGAUGAUUACACCUUCUCCUCCUCUAAUUAUGUUCUCAUCUUAGACGGUUCCUCCCCCUCCCUCCUCCCUGUCCCCGUCCACGUCGUUACCGCCUCCAUCAAAGCUAAAGUCCCAAUCAUACCCUACUCCGAUUUCGCCUACAGUCAUGGCGAAUCAGAGACGGCGGCGUUCAACUGCUGUUAGUUUGAUAUCUCUCAUCGGCUUCUUCUUCUCCUCCGGAUACAGACGGCCCUUCCACCGUUACCGAUUCCGACGCCAUUAUCCUCGAGUUGAAAUUCUGUCAAUGGAACACGAUUCUGUUGAAAAUAAAAUUUAUGCGUAUGAGGAUGAUGUCGUUUGGGUGAAUUCUAGGGUUCCAAGAUAUUUCCUGAUUUUUUGCUUAAUAAGGCAAUUGGGAUCUGCUUUCUUGGACGAGACGAAUGAAAUCUGUGUUUCCAGUGUUCCUGUUAGUCUGUCACCUGAGCUUUGGAAGGAAGACAACUGGAGGUGGGAAAUCAACUCUAAUCCAGGUUCUAACAUCUCCACCCUCAGACUGUAUAUGUUCCUUGCACUUGAUAAAGAUAUGAACAGAACACUGAGCAAGCAAGAGCUUUGAGAGUAUGCAGACGGGACACUCACAUAUAUUUUUAUCGAGAAGGCUUUUGAUGAGAAUUGAAAACAAAGGCACUCCAUAGGGAAUUACAUAUCGUUUCUGAUGUUUAGAUCUUAAUAGAAGAGGCUUCCUUACAAGUGUUGAUAUUCACACCCUUUGUAGGUAUAACUAAUUAUUUUUUGAUUAUUAUUAGGAAAUAGGAAUGACUUUUCAACAUCAUACGUUAUCAGGUUCCGUGUAGUUUGACAAUGGAACAAGUGAAAACAUACCAGAGACGCAGAGACCAAACAAGAAAUGUUAUAAAAGGAGUGAAGCUAUGGUGGUGUGUGUUUGAUCAUACAACUGGAAAUAAGUGAUAAUUCGUUGUUCAAAGAUUUAGAGAGAUUUUUGUGCAUAUGGACCAGUGGUGUUAAACAUACUUGGGUUGGAUAUGACACAUGUUCUAUUUACUAUUUUGGAUUGUUAGUAGCUAAUUUCUUCAAAAUGCUAAAUAAACUAACUAUUCAAGUAUGGGUUAUUAAUGGUGUUAUAGUUACAUAAUUAACAAUUCAAUUAGAGAGCUAUAUCACUCCACUAAAAUUGUAUACAUUAAAGCUAUUUUGUUUGUUCUGUUAUGAGCCGUUUUGUAUUUAUUUUUUCAGAUUCUUGGUCAUUCACUUGGUAGUGGCACACCAAAGUAGAUUGUUAUUUGUUGCAUUUUCAUA
Molecule: non-coding RNA, 1707 nt
Organism: Lactuca sativa (garden lettuce)
Lineage: Eukaryota; Viridiplantae; Streptophyta; Magnoliopsida; Asterales; Asteraceae
Source: RefSeq, a predicted model, not a curated record